UUUUAUUUUGUUCCAAGAAGAAUUCAGAAAGGGUUAUUUAAUUAUGGCUUUCUGAAAAACAAUAAUUUUUUUACAUUUAGGCACUGCUGCAAUCGUCACACUUUUUCUGUUACAAACUGACCCGGCCCCUCAUCAGAGAAGGGAAAAGUCAUGUGGCCUUCACAGGAAAAGGUUUGGGGACCCCUGCUUUAGAGUGUUUGUCAUCUGCCCUUCCAUUUGCUUUUCUUCAUGUGCAGUGCUCCCCCUCCAUGUUUGAUCAAACUGCACUGAUAAUUUGAAAUUGUUUUAAAAUGCAUUAAUCGCAAAAAUCAGAGGACUAGAUCACAUUUCCCCCUGUUAUUUCACCACUUUAACUUUGGUCUAACCUAAUAUAGGAAUACAGAUAGAAAGAGUGCAGAGAUCACACUCGACGCCAUAACAACCUGGCUGAAGCAAAUGGUCAAAAGUCCACACAUACCUCAGUCUCAGCAAUUACAGGUCAACCAAAGCAGUAUUCUCUAAUGCAGUGGACUUGCAAGUACUGCACAUUUUCUGCUGAAAAGAGCCUACUUGCUUAAGCAUUACCGCUUAAAACAUGGAUACCACACUCGGACAUCCCAACUCCCAUGUCUUCAUAAGGACUGCCUCUGCACAUUUAAAUCUUUUAAUGCACUCAAAGUACACCUAUCGACAUGGCACUCUCAAAAAGAUGCAGGCAAAAGUGGAGAAACUGCAUUUGACCGUCAGUUGUGCAACUUUGUGGAGCCCUGCUCAGAAGCAGACUUCUUUACCCAUUUGUCUCAAAUAUUUUUUCACAUUCAAACCUUUUUUUCUACAAUUGUUUUUUUUUGUUUUUGUUUUUGU
Long non-coding RNA from Corythoichthys intestinalis (scribbled pipefish), 843 nucleotides. RefSeq lists it as uncharacterized. The transcript has 3 exons. The record is from RefSeq and is a predicted model, not a curated record. NCBI's taxonomy places the organism in Eukaryota, Metazoa, Chordata, Actinopteri, Syngnathiformes, Syngnathidae.